UGUACAUUAUACACGAUGAAAAAAUUAAAAUUAUAAAUAUAGUAUAGCGUAAAAUGAUAAUAGGUAGAACCAAAGCUGUAGCUAGAUUCUGUAGUCCAACGGAGAGUGGGUUAAAUGAAAUCAUCUGAUAUUUUUGUUACGAUGAUAAUUACCAUUUUUAUUGAUUAUUUUAAACAAUACUUAGAAAAAAAAAAAUCGGAGAAGAGAGGCGUAAAAGUAGAACUUAUAUCACGUACAAUGCGUAUUAAUCAACGAUACAACUUUACCAGAUGAUCGAUAGCUCAGUAAGUUAUAGGUGUUGGUUAGUUAGUAGAGUAGGAUUACUUUAUUGUUGGGGUACUUGGCUUGAUUCCCGACCAAGCAGUAAAAUAGAAUCUGGA
Non-coding RNA from Cinara cedri, 380 nucleotides. Lineage: Eukaryota; Metazoa; Arthropoda; Insecta; Hemiptera; Aphididae. The record is from the annotation of a GenBank genome assembly.